AUAGCGUAUAUUAAAGUUGUUGCAGUUAAAAAGCUCGUAGUUGAAUUUCGGGAUUGGCGCAUCGGUCGUGCCUCACGGGGUAUGAACUGGUGCAGUCAAUUUCUCACCUUCUGGAGAACCGCGAUGUCCUUAAUUGGAUGCCGCGGGGAACCAGGACCUUUACUUUGAAAAAAUUAGAGUGUUUAAAGCAGGCAUUUUUGCUUGAAUACAUUAGCAUGGAAUAAUAAAAUAGGACGGCAUGGUUCUAUUUUGUUGGUUUCUAGGACCACCGUAAUGAUUAAUAGGGAUAGUUGGGGGCAUUAGUAUUCAAUUGUCAGAGGUGAAAUUCUUGGAUCGAUUGAAGACUAACUACUG
This 354-nucleotide ribosomal RNA is filed under the name uncultured eukaryote. RNAcentral's name for it is "SSU rRNA". It matches the Rfam family "Eukaryotic small subunit ribosomal RNA", at positions 594 to 945 of the family's 1831-position model. The record is from RNAcentral.